Long non-coding RNA from Condylura cristata (star-nosed mole), 156 nucleotides. RefSeq lists it as uncharacterized. Lineage: Eukaryota; Metazoa; Chordata; Mammalia; Eulipotyphla; Talpidae. The transcript has 3 exons. The record is from RefSeq and is a predicted model, not a curated record.
AGAAAGUGGGACCUCGAGGCCCCCCCGGCCCCCAGGGGCCCCCCGGGAAGCCAGGCAGGGACGGCAUUGAUGGAGAAGCUGGCCCCCCCGGCCUGCCUGGAGCCCCGGGAGCACGAGGCGGCCCGGGGGAGCCGGGGCGGCCAGGGGCGGCCGGGC